Molecule: ribosomal RNA, 435 nt
Filed under: uncultured bacterium
Lineage: Bacteria
Description: bacterial SSU rRNA
Rfam family: Bacterial small subunit ribosomal RNA
Source: RNAcentral
AACGAACGCUGGCGGCAUGCCUAACACAUGCAAGUCGAACGGAUGGUUUCGGCCAUCAGUGGCGCACGGGUGAGUAACGCGUGGGAAUCUGCCCAGCAGUGGGGGAUAACCUCUGGAAACGGAGGCUAAUACCGCAUACGCCCCUCGGGGGAAAGGCUUGCUGCUGCUGGAGGAGCCCGCGUCGGAUUAGGUAGUUGGUGGGGUAACGGCCUACCAAGCCUGUGAUCCGUAGCUGGUCUGAGAGGAUGAUCAGCCACACUGGGACUGAGACACGGCCCAGACUCCUACGGGAGGCAGCAGUGGGGAAUAUUGGACAAUGGGCGCAAGCCUGAUCCAGCAAUGCCGCGUGAGUGAUGAAGGCCUUCGGGUUGUAAAGCUCUUUCGCCCACGACGAUGAUGACGGUAGUGGGAGAAGAAGCCCCGGCUAACUUCGUG